This 279-nucleotide ribosomal RNA is filed under the name uncultured bacterium. RNAcentral describes it as "partial 16S ribosomal RNA". It matches the Rfam family "Bacterial small subunit ribosomal RNA", at positions 506 to 784 of the family's 1533-position model. The record is from RNAcentral.
UGCCAGCCGCCGCGGUAAUACGGAGGGUGCAAGCGUUAAUCGGAAUUACUGGGCGUAAAGCGUGCGUAGGCGGCGCAUUAAGUCGGAUGUGAAAGCCCUGGGCUUAACCUGGGAAUGGCAUUCGAUACUGGUGGGCUAGAGUCUGAUAGAGGGUAGCGGAAUUCCGGGUGUAGCGGUGAAAUUCGUAGAUAUUGGGAAGAACACCAGUGGCGAAGGCGGCUAACUGGCUCGGUACUGACGCUGAGAUGAGAAAGCGUGGGGAGCAAACAGGAUUAGAUA